UAGGGAAUAUUGCUUAAUGGGCGAAAGCCUGAAGCAGCAACGCCGCGUGUGCGAUGAGGGCCUUCGGGUUGUAAAGCACUUUUUGGAGGGAUGAGGAAGGACAGUACCUUCAGAAUAAGCCUCGGCUAACUACGUGCCAGCAGCCGCGGUAAAACGUAGGAGGCGAGCGUUAUCCGGAUUUACUGGGCGUAAAGCGCGUGUAGGCGGCUCGACAAGUUGGAUGUGAAAGCUCCUGGCUUAACUGGGAGAGGUCGUUCAAAACUGUCGGGCUAGAGUAUGAGAGAGGGAGUGGAAUUCCGGGUGUAGUGGUGAAAUGCGUAGAUAUCCGGAGGAACACCAGUGGCGAAAGCGGCCUCCUGGCUCAAAACUGACGCUCAGACGCGAAAGCUAGGGUAGCAAACG
This 402-nucleotide ribosomal RNA is filed under the name uncultured bacterium. Its description in RNAcentral is "bacterial SSU rRNA". It matches the Rfam family "Bacterial small subunit ribosomal RNA", at positions 355 to 774 of the family's 1533-position model. The record is from RNAcentral.